UCCAUGGUGGCUCAGACGGUAAAGCGUCUGCCUGUAAUGCAGGAAACUCAGGUUCGAUCCCUGGGUUGGAA
RNAcentral lists this transfer RNA (71 nucleotides) under Bos taurus (domestic cattle). It matches the Rfam family "tRNA". From Rfam's summary of the family: Transfer RNA (tRNA) molecules are approximately 80 nucleotides in length. Their secondary structure includes four short double-helical elements and three loops (D, anti-codon, and T loops). Further hydrogen bonds mediate the characteristic L-shaped molecular structure. tRNAs have two regions of fundamental functional importance: the anti-codon, which is responsible for specific mRNA codon recognition, and the 3' end, to which the tRNAs corresponding amino acid is attached (by aminoacyl-tRNA synthetases). tRNAs cope with the degeneracy of the genetic code in two manners: having more than one tRNA (with a specific anti-codon) for a particular amino acid; and 'wobble' base-pairing, i.e. permitting non-standard base-pairing at the 3rd anti-codon position. The record is from Rfam by way of RNAcentral. RNAcentral also lists the same sequence under 1 other name. Lineage: Eukaryota; Metazoa; Chordata; Mammalia; Artiodactyla; Bovidae.